CACACGCCGUGCCCGAGCCCGGCCCGAGCCCGUGAAAAAACUGCUCUACCCGGCCCGGCCCGGCCCACGGGCCGGGCCGUGCCCGGGCUUUCGGGUAAGCCCGAGCCCGUGCAGUGCUCUAGCACACACAGCUGCAAGAUCAUGCUGAGAAAGAACAGUGACACCUGCAGUACCGCCGCAACCUCAUCCAACAGCUGGUGGGUGACGUGAGGGCUAGAGCCAAAAAGCGGGGCCCGUCUGCGUGGAAGGAGUGCGAGGAAAGGCUAGAUGGGAGGAGCCAUUUCAGCUACAAGAUCCCAGGCCGAAAUACCAAAGACUGUGCUGUUUGUAGCAAUCGAAAAACAAACGGAGGCAGGAGGGAAACUGUGUUUUUCUUCAAAACCUGCAGUAACAACCCUGGCCUGCACCCAGAAAAAUGCUUCGAGUGGUAUCACACGCUGCUCAAAUAUCGGUACAGGAGUUGCCUACAGAAGGCAAGAGAAAAAAUAAAUAUCCUGUUAGUUUUUAUUCCACAGUUUGUGUUUUUCUUCGUGGCGCCACAAACUGGCAAAAUAGUUUUGGACUAGGACAGCCGGAAAGCAAGUAAAAGUUUCGGACCGCAAAGGGUUAAAAUAAUUCAGGUGUCCGCCUCGAGCAAGACAGUUACGGUGUCCACGGCAAGGAUUGUGAAAAUAAACAAGAAACAUUGCGCUUUGGAGGUGACAAGGAGCUUCCUUUUUGUCGGUAGUUUUCUCGGCGUCAGCGUCUGUUUUGAGCAUGUCACUCUUAUUACACGGUGCUUUGGCGGUGUGUGGUGCCGGAAUCUAUGGCAAAUUAUUAUUAUAAAUAGCAGCAACGCGGGCCGAGAGCCAACAGUGACGUCUUCGUAGAUAGCUCAUAUGGUAACAACUUGUGAACUGAUAAAUUAAUGGGCGGAAUGUUAAAUUUGGGACUUUCACUAUUACGACUUUUCAGAAUAACAAACCAUUUACUGCGGUCCCCUGAAGUUCGUUAUAUCGAGAUUUUACUAUUUAGAGCUGUGGUAUGAGCUAUAGCUCAAUUUUGCAGCUGAAUGUUUAAGCUCUUGAAUAAUUGAUAGAGGAUUUAAUUACAUUUAAUUUAUAUCUGCUAAAAGAGAUCUCCAACAUUUUCCUGGCUGGAAACUGAACUUGAUUUGAAUGAAAUGCAAGUCUUAUUCAGAGUGCAGUGGCCUUUGCCUGACCCGUGUGAAGACACCAACUCCUGAUGUUGUGCAGCUUAAUGUUGGUGAAAUGUAGAAACAGUGCUCAGUGCAGAAUUUCUGGUAUCGUAUUUUUACGCCUUGUUUUAUUGUGAUAGCAAUUAUAUGGACACUCCAGGUGCAUUUCUGCCAUCGCCGUGAUGUUCCGUGUAAAGUCCAAGAGUGAUAACAUCGUCGCCGCAUGCUUUAUGCUGUAUAUGUGAGUGAAAGGGUAUGAGGGUGAGCCGACAAUGGCGGCUCAAUCUCGUGCGCACAAGGGAAGUAAGCGGGGAGUAAGCGCGCUGUCUACUGUAGUGCGCAAGGCACCGGGCGGAGGGGUGUUUUAUGCCGGCGGCUGCUGUGUAUGCCGCGGCCGCGCGUGCCCUAUCUUGAAAGCGAUCUGCGAUGGAGACAGAGUGCGCCGAGUGCCGAUAGCUUCGUGUGCGCUGUGUUUUCGACGCUUAGUUUGCGUUGAAGCGAGAGGCAGCACGAAGGUCAAUUCGCUCGCUGCUGCUGCCGCACUUCCUCACUCCAGCAUUUUGACAGCGAGCUUCCGUGGUCAUCGAGCGAGAUGUGUUCAUGUUUGCUUGUGCGCGCGUGACACCAUGCUUGUUAAUUUAGUUAGUAAGUGAAUGUUUGCAUGUUCGUCUCUUUCCCUACCAUGGGGAAAAUAGGCGAUUUUUGUAUGGUGCGGCAGUUUUUUUCUUAAGGAACUAUUGCACUCUCUAUUUAAUGCAGUACAUAAACAGAAGCAAAAUGGAUGCACUUUUCACACAUAAAAGUUUUAUUAACGAGAUGUAUGUCAUAAAAAAGAUAUAACUUGUUAAAAUUAAGAUUGUGCAAUAAAAUUGAACAAAGUUUGUAAAGACCCGCUUGUAUCUACUAAGAACAAAAUGUUACAAAAAUUAUGAGAUAUACAAAAUGUAUAGCCAUCUAUUAGGCACUAUCUUCAAAAAAAAUCUAAAUUUUAAUUGAACAGGUAUUCCGCUACAAAAAUGUAACUGCAAGCACUGCAGUUGGGCGUGCCGGGCUGCGGCCGCCGAUGUUCCAGGCUGGUUUGCGUCGUCGUCGCUUUCAAACGCAAAGUCCGAUGAAAAGCCAGCGUCCUCUGGCUCGCUGCUGUUCGAUGUAUCGAUAUGAUCAGCCGCAGAGGCAGCGGAAUCGUGAUAUCUGCGAUCUCCUGAAGCACGCGCGCCGUUUCCGGAGCUGGACAUUAUUGCAUUCUGCUUUGACGAUCGUGAAACUUCGGAGCGAAUUUAAAAAUCACCGCCUGGCAGGCAAAAAGUGAACUGCUUAGAAAACAAAAAUAUAGUUUCUUCUCUUUCACGUCCAAUGCGCAGUGUGUCUCUGAGCGGCGCGGAAGGUCUCAAAAGUGGCGUUUCAAACCAUUGAUAGCGGGCGGCCAUUUUUUCGUUCUUCUUUGACGAUCACGAAACUUCGGAGUGCAUUUAAAAAUCACUGCCAUGCGGGAAAAAAACAAACUGUUUAGAAAACUAAAAUAUAGCUCUCCUCCUUCACGCCCCAUUGCGCAGUAUGUCCGUGAGCGGCGCGGAAGGUCUCAAAAGGGGGGUUUCAAACCAUCGAUAGAGACCUAACGAUGCCCAAAGGGCACAGUACGGAAAGAUUUAUACGGCCGAUAAAACUACUAUCUUUGCUUAGUAUAGCUCUCUACUAAUUUGCUAUUGCAAUCGAUGCUUCACCUUUCGGGCGAAGCUGCAACGUCUGUAGCUGUAUGAACUCGCAUUCCUCGAAUGUGUACCUACCGGCCUAAAGUACCGUACUUACUCGAUACUAAUGUGCCUCUGAUUGCAACACACACUAAGUUUUUCAUGGGCGGAAAUCUAAAAUGCAGUGACCUUAAUUGUAAUGCGCAGCCUGAUUUUCAUACUUCAAAAAAAUGUAAAAUGCAAUGCACUAGGUUGUUCCCUUAUCAGAUUUUCGUGGUAAAAGAAAUAGCUAUUUGUUGUCAGAGGUGCGAUUUGGACCCCAGAUAGAGGUGGUGUCCAAUAAUGGCAAAUCUUUUGGCACUUGCACUAUGGUAAAGCAUGGCUUUCAAUGUUUUGAGGUGGGAUGUUGACACCACCUAUUAGCGAUUUUGGUUUUGUUCUCGAUUCUAACACACAUCUAGUGUUUUAAAGAAUUUUCCUGGAAAUUUUUUUUGUUAGAAUCAAGUAUAACUAUGUCACAGGAUGCACAUUGAGCAGUGACAAUGGGAAGAGCACAAGCUACUGUAAGGUCCGGCCUGCUCUUUGAUUGGUGCUAGCCUUAAGGGGGCUACUAUGCUUGAAGAGCAAGCUUGUCCAUCUCUUCUGUGCUCUACAGUUCAGUCUACCUAUAUUCAGUCUCCCUAUACUGAUAUGCACAACACGGGAAAAAUUUUGUUCAUAACAAUUUUUUUUUAAUAUAUAUGGAGUGACUUGAAGAAUGUACCUUUACCGUUCUGAUUAUAUAAUUUUUUGUGAGGACAUCAUUCUUCAGCAAUUUUGUCAGGGUAGUGUCAAACAGUUAACACGUCACGAUGGUGCACCCUACAAUUACACUUUACAAGUCGCAUACCUCAGUGACGUAUUCGAAAUUAAUAGGUGAGAAAGAAAACCUUGGUUAGCAAGCAUGUAACAAAGUGGAAGUUUAGGUGAGUAGGUGUUAAAAAUGUCAAAUUUAGAUUUACAUGCUCAAUUCAUAGGCAGCUAUCAUGUUGCACAUUGCAAGCAGUUGCUGUACAUACAUUGUGGGUAGCUAGCACAUUGGAUGGCAUAAAAACUGUGUGCUCUAUUGUGGAUUACGCUUAUGUUUGUAAUCGUAAUGACUAGCCUAAGUUGACAUCUCUUUAGCAGAUAUGGUACACAUGGCACCUCUGAUUGGUUGUUUCCGAAUGCUGCGAAAAGGCUAUGAAUAUAGAGAAGUGCAGUGAUCAAUUUGUAUUGCAAGAAUUAUAAUCUAUACUCUAUCUCAGUAGUUUCUAACAGCACUGUGGAAGCCGCAAGACUCCUUAGCCAAUAGGAAGGCCAAAUGCUCCUCAAUACAUGUUCAUCUGCACUGCAUUGUCUGCUUAGCAUUGUCUUGCUAUCCUGUUGACACAUGCUUCACUGUUGGUGUACUGAUGAAACAAAUGUUUCGGUCUUGUAACCAGCUGUGUUUACAUAAAGGUGACAGUGGGGCUUCGCUUCAUCUGUAUGCUUUCUCAGCAGUUCCUUACAGCCUCCUUAGCUAGUAGUAAGGGUAAACAUCCUUAUAAAUGUUCACCCGCGCUAAAUCGUCUUCUCAGCGUCUAUUUGGCAUUUGCUCGCCGUUGCCAUCAAAUGCCAUACUAAAGGCGAAUAGUAAUAUUAUGAUGCAGUGAACGAUUUGGCCUUUAUAGCAUUCCGCAAUCAGACUGCUUUUAUGGCUCGGCAUUGCCUUUGUAGUCCUAGCGGCGUCAAAACGGACAGCUGAUCUCAAUAGUAACGACAAAGCAUAACUAAUGCUUUGCCUUCAGCGUGAAAUGAGGCCAAGUGUUGAUGGAUAUUACCAUUAAUUUCUUGCUGUCAAAGCGGAAAGCCAGUAACAAGCGUGGAUACAGUGCCAUGCUUGUUAGUUAGUAGUUAGUGUGUGCCAUGCAUACAGUUAUGCCUGGAACUAUAUCACGCGGUGCAAGUAUAUUACCUGUGUACACUUCCGUACCUUCGGCAGUGCUACAAGUUACUUGUGAGAUGGAGUAUAGUAAUUACCACCAGACUUCAUUAUAGCUGUUGGUGUGCGCUUGUUUUCACAAGAAAGCUCAGUUACUCUCAUACGCAACCACUGUAAUGGAUCUGUAAUGGCUUAUUGAAGGGGCCAACAGGCUGCGUCCACUGGUACUACUUGAAAGAAAAGUAGUUGCAUAUUUUUGUUUCACUGAUGCUUAUCUUUCGUGGCAAUAAUUUGUGCUGCAAUACAGUAGCAAUACAUCCUUGAUUUUUGGCACUUAAAAGCACAUGGCCAGCAGUUCACAGGUGGCUCGCUGAACUCUUCCCUGCAGCCUGACUUGCCCUCCUGACUGUUCACCUUCUCCCCCAAUAAUUCACAUUGGCCUUAAUAAGCACCUACUCCUCUACUGAACAUUUGACUACUGUGCAUGCACUGUGGGGAACUGCAUGUAGUCUAUGUGGCUCAAUGCCCAAUGCGAGUUUGAGACCCCUGCCUUUCUUCUUUAGUAUUUAUGAUCAUUUUGCAUACAUGAAAUGAUGAUUUGUUUGUGAACUUAGAAUCAGCAGAUCGUUGGCAGGUGGUUAGUUUUGCAACUAAAUUGGGAUCAUGGGCCUAAAAAUAUUGUGAAGAAAGUUUUUAUAAAGCUGCCGCAGAUAAAGCCGGAUGCGUUAUUGUUGAGCGUGUCCUGUUAUACUACCUUGUUAGUUGUGCUAACAUACAGAAGCUACUAUAGAUUGUUAACUGUGGUAAUAUUCUUGUAGUCUGAAAAAAUUCAGUUGGGCUCUGUUGCAUACUGUUACUUGCAUCAUUUGGGCUCUGGUUGAUGCAGUUUCUUGACCUGAUGAGUCUCACUGCAGCACAAAAUCAUUAACUGCAUUAUGCAGAUGAUGUGUUCACUUUAGUCACCUAGCAAUUACUGCUAAAGUAUGGUUUGCUAAAAUAUGGUUUGCUAGUAGCUCCUGUGUGAUUUCACUCUUUACUUUUAUACCUUGUACCUGUUGUGUUCGUAAAAUUUGUAUUAUAGUUUCACUUGAGUCAACUGAGUGUUUUGUCUGUGAACAUCAACUUUUCAGAAGUGACACUAUGCUCAUGUCUUCUGUUUGUGAUAAAUUUUAUGGGCUAUAGGCUUUUUGAUAAUCCAUAGCUUUUCUCUGUAACUUGAAACACCACUAGCCAAUAAGAAUUUCUGCAUAAUGUAACAUGGCAGAUUUUUGUCAUGUUACUGUGGCCUUGUUUUCUCCUAAAUGAACAUUUUUUUUUACAUUAGUGUGAAACCAUUUUUCUUCUUUUUUAGCCUUUUAUCUCUCUCCCUGUCAGUUCCACCUAUGUUUUAUGUUCUUUGGAGUGUUUAGUUUUAUUGUCCUAUUUGUGUUACAUCUUGAGCGUCAUGUCAAGAAUCCCAUAUGAAUGAUGAAAAAGUGAAAUGCUGGCUGGCAGCACUUGCAGAAUUUGCUGUGCCACGGUGCGCCUGAACCAUGGUGUAACAAUCCUUGAUUUGAUGAAAAUCACAUUGGGGCAGACUUUCUCUGCGCUAUUUUACACAAAUAUGAGACAACAUAGCAUUUCCUAUAGUUGAGCAGGUAAUUAAGCAGUGCAUUUUGUCCAAACUUUUGUGCUUUGGGUACUAAACAGAUGUUGCCAACUAACAGCAUUUGGUGCAAGAAGUUGUCUGGGCAUUAGAAAGUGCUCGUGACCGCCUCCGAGUCUAACAUGAAAGUUAGGUUGUAGACGUGCUUGAAUGUAACCGGCGGAUUGUCGCAUAAUUCAGUGUUGCACUCACCACUGCACAAUGGAAUGGCAUAUAUAUAUAUAUAACCAAGUAGUAUAGCUGUUGCCAGAAAUUGUGGCUGAAAUGCUCAUUUGUUAUUUUCAUGUACAAUAUGCAAGUCACCAUGAAUGUUAGUCACUGAAAGACUUUACUGCUGUUCUGACAUGGAAAUAUAUGUAAAAGGGAAAUUCAGUCUAACAAAGAUUUCCACUUGAAGUACAACUUUAUUGUUGGUGCCCACCAUCUGAAUUUGUGCUUUUCCACUUUACCUUCAGCUGUAUUUCUCGAUGACUCCCAUAUGUCAUAGGUGCUCUAAUGCUCGCUUGGUGCAUUAUGUGAAGAAUAAGAGGUUUGUGUGCAGCACAGUUAAUGCAGAACUCCUUUAAAGAACUCAUCCUUUUUUUUACUCUUUUUUUGUAACAGUAGUGCAGAAAUGCAGAAAACUAGUGAUGGCAGCGCCUGAAUGCUGCCACUUUUGUCUCAUUCUGGUAUAUCCAACAGUGUUCAGCACUUCCUGUACAGUUUGCCAUGCAACAUCACUUUUGCUCCUAAGCCUUUACCAAAUGUGGAGGAUGUGGACUCUGUUUAUGCAUUCACUGUUACUGCUAAAUUUAUUUCUUGCUCAAUCCGUCUGCAAGAUCUUUUCCUGGUAUGACACUCAUGUGUAAUUUGUAGCAACCAUGCUUCUCUGCACCAGUGGCAGUUUGCGUAUAUAAGAUGCGCUGCAGUAUGCAGCGGAAGUACUUGUGUCACAUGCAUUGCUUCGACAAUUUAGCAGCCAAUCCCUAGUGCAGCUGGGCCAGUCUGUUCAGUAAAAUGCUGCUCUGCGGUCUAGUGUGGCUUGCAAAGACUGCUUUCCCUGUGCCUUUGUCAUAUGUUGUUGGAAAGUGCAUGGUUACCUGUUGACUUGAGGAUACCAUUUAACACACUGAAAAGAUCUUUCAGCUGCCCUCUGCAGCCUGUGUUAUUUGGCUGUUAUGAGCCUGAUGUAUGAACAAACUGUCUUGUCUUGCAUUAGCCGCAUUUUUAGUAGUACGCCGUAGGCAGUAUUUUCUUAGUCGCACCACUUUUUGAAUCUCGGCUUGCAGGAGGUUUCACCCCAUUUUAAAUGUCUUGACCUUCCACUGGGUUGGAGCUAUUGUUUCAUUGGUUGUACUCUGACCAGCGAAUUGUGACCUGUACUUGCAUCGUUCAAGAAGCUGUAUGUUGAAAGUGCAAGCACUGUUUAAGCAGUGGAGUUUUCGUAUACAGUGUAGACUGCUUAUAACGUAUGCCAUAAAAGUCGUGAAAAACAAUGCUAUUAAGAGAGCCACAGUGUAAACAAAUAAUCUAUUUUUAUAAUCAGUGUACAAGCCAGAUGGACAACCUUAUUCGUUACGUUGUACAUUAAUUGUAGAAUCCAAGGAGGCUUUGCAGUAGAUCCUCUUUCCUAAAACUCAUUUCUUUAGGGGCAGUGCGGUAGUCUUACUUGGUUUCAUGAUUUAUAAGCGCAACGCAGCCUCUACGUGUGAGCAGUGUGGUGCUCGAUCUUGCUUUACUGUCACUAUUUUGGCUACUAAAAGCUGCGCUGUGUCCUGUACUGCACCUUAAGCGGCUACUUUACAAGUGGUCUGCACUGUACGCCUGUUUCAAUAUUCUUGGAAUGUGGAUUGGCAGAGCUUGUUGUACACCAGAAUUUCAUGUGACGGCAAAUGUGAGAGCUUAAAACGUAUUCACUGCCUGUUUCUCGAGGCAUUGCGUGUAAUCUCUAUGCUCUUGUAAUCCCUUUUUGGCAUAUUAUACAAUAAAGCCAAAUAGUUGUCUCGUGGAUAAA
Dermacentor silvarum is the source of this 8445-nucleotide long non-coding RNA. RefSeq lists it as uncharacterized. The transcript is spliced from 2 exons. NCBI's taxonomy places the organism in Eukaryota, Metazoa, Arthropoda, Arachnida, Ixodida, Ixodidae. The record is from RefSeq and is a predicted model, not a curated record.